GGAGCUUGCUCCCGGAAGAUUAGCGGCGGACGGGUGAGUAACACGUGGGCAACCUACCUGUAAGUCUGGGAUAACUUCGGGAAACCGGAGCUAAUACCGGAUAAUUUCUUUCUUCGCAUGAAGAAAGGUUGAAAGACGGCUUUGCUGUCACUUACAGAUGGGCCCGCGGCGCAUUAGUUAGUUGGUGAGGUAACGGCUCACCAAGACCACGAUGCGUAGCCGACCUGAGAGGGUGAUCGGCCACACUGGGACUGAGACACGGCCCAGACUCCUACGGGAGGCAGCAGUAGGGAAUCUUCCGCAAUGGACGAAAGUCUGACGGAGCAACGCCGCGUGAGUGAAGAAGGUCUUCGGAUCGUAAAACUCUGUUAUCAGGGAAGAACAAGUACCGGAGUUACUGCCGGUACCUUGACGGUACCUGACCAGAAAGCCACGGCUAACUACGUGCCAGCAGCCGCGGUAAUACGUAGGUGGCAAGCGUUGUCCGGAAUUAUUGGGCGUAAAGCGCGCGCAGGCGGUUCUUUAAGUCUGAUGUGAAAUCUUGCGGCUCAACCGUGAGCGGUCAUUGGAAACUGGAGAACUUGAGUGCAGAAGAGAAGAGCGGAAUUCCACGUGUAGCGGUGAAAUGCGUAGAGAUGUGGAGGAACACCAGUGGCGAAGGCGGCUCUUUGGUCUGUAACUGACGCUGAGGCGCGAAAGCGUGGGGAGCGA
This 711-nucleotide ribosomal RNA is filed under the name Bacillus sp. MO-02. Its description in RNAcentral is "bacterial SSU rRNA". It matches the Rfam family "Bacterial small subunit ribosomal RNA", at positions 75 to 771 of the family's 1533-position model. The record is from RNAcentral. Lineage: Bacteria; Bacillati; Bacillota; Bacilli; Caryophanales; Bacillaceae.